GGAAGUAAAAAUCGUAGCAAGGUUUCCGUAGGUGAACCUGCGGAAGGAUCAUUAUUGUAUAACCGAGGUGCGAGGGCUGUCGCUGACCCGAAAGGUCGUGCACGCCCGAGUGCCCUCACACACAUCCAUCUCACCCCUAUGUGCACCACCGCGUGGGUCCCCCUUUGGCUUGUUCGGAGGGGGGCUUACGUUUUCACACAAACUUUGUAUGCAGUGUAGAAUGUAUUUUUUGUUUUUGCGAUCACGCAAUCAAUACAACUCUCAACAACGGAUCUCUUGGCUCUC
Molecule: unclassified non-coding RNA, 285 nt
Filed under: plant metagenome
Description: partial contains small subunit ribosomal RNA, internal transcribed spacer 1, and 5.8S ribosomal RNA
Rfam family: Eukaryotic small subunit ribosomal RNA (bases 1-54)
Source: RNAcentral